This is a long non-coding RNA of Gallus gallus (chicken), 6942 nucleotides long. RefSeq lists it as uncharacterized. Lineage: Eukaryota; Metazoa; Chordata; Aves; Galliformes; Phasianidae. The record is from RefSeq and is a predicted model, not a curated record. The transcript is spliced from 23 exons.
UAUGCCAAUUCCAUUUGCAUGUUUCUUUGGAAUGCUGAAAUGAAUACAGCAAAUGAAUAGUAAUGUCAAGACACUGCAAAAACAAAAAGCACUGAAAGAGAAUUCUCGUGGACUGAUGAACUGAGAGCUGAAAUGGGAGCAGCAGGUCAGAACCAGUUGGUGAUCAGAUACUGUAUGCUGGAUCUCCAUUUUUAAGCCAUCUUCAAGACUGAUGUGUUAGACAAGUAGAAGUCUAACUGCUGGGGGAGUUCCUGGAACUACACAACAACUUGCUGUCAGAGCGACUUGCACCAUCACAAGGCAUCACCUCUGCUUUCCAGACACUGAGUCUCCAGACAAUUAAUGCAUGUCUUCAGUUACUACGUUGUUUCUCUCACACUUCUCCUGGAUGAAUUUUACAGUGUGAGUGAUGCUAAUUUUUCAGCCUAACAACCAACCAUGCACUGAAGCCCUGCUACUUCUGAGCUGACAUCAUCCAGAUGAGAAAGCUUCUUUCUAGUAACUUAUCAGCCUGGAAAACCAGCCCUGCAGGGUAACACCCAACCCAUGCUUUAAAUGUCAAGGAGAAAAACAUCUUUGUAUUGCCGAGCAGUCACAGCAGCUUCACUUCUGAUUUGAUAGCCUUGGAUGGAAGCAGGUACCAGCAUGAUGAUUCAGAAACCCUUGAAGAUAUAGUCAUAUUUUCAGCAACAGAUGGAUUUAACACUGCAGAUGGAGUGUUAAGAGUGCAGGGGCUGCUGGAGACCUGCCAACAGGAACUACUGACUGCAGAUUUGGGAAGAACGCAGGCAGUUUGGAAAGCGCGGUUUGCAGAGUUGUCUGUGGACUCUGAGAACAUAUUUAAAACCAGAAUUCUCUCUGGAACAUUGACUCUCGCUUGAUGGUAUGAUAGACUUCUACUUUAGAUCUGGAUUCAGAAGUAGUGGAUCACGCUUUAAUGUUGGUCUGCCCUCAUCAUUUGGAAGAGAAAAAACAAACAUUCCUGUGCCUCAGCUCAUCAGUGUCUGCAGCUGACUCAAUCAGCUGUAGAACUGAAGGGAAGGAAACAUAAAUUGAUGUGAAGAAAAUGUUCUCCCUGAAGCUGCACAAGCAGCAAUGAUUGUCAAAAGCUGAUCUUUAUCCCUUCAAAGACCUGCAGAUGGGGUCACUGAUCACAUCGUCUCAUUCAUUGGUUGGACUUCUAUAUACAACGUUUGGAAUAAAGGAUUGCCUCAUGAGGUUCCCGCUGGCUGGUUGCAAUACCACUGAGAAUGGAAGGUCCAAAGCUGCAGCAGGAGGAAGGAACUUGGAAAAUGCAACUGGUGCGGAAGAGCGAGCAAGGUCACUGGUGACAAGGCUCUGCUCCAUCUGUGCAGGCAUGCUCUUGAACAGAAGCAUUCCAGCAACAUGGCAUUUUGUCACAUUAUUCCAUUCCUUAUAAAUUUCAAUAGCCAGUUAUUUGCCUGCCUUUAGUUGGGAAACAAAGCCCCUCUUUGUGCAGCAACACAACGUGGCUAUCUCAUGUAACGGAGAAAUGAAAAGCAAAUAACGCAGGAAUUGUGCUUGUCUGGGGAAGAGGAAAGCAUUGUCUUGUGACAAGAGGAGAAGAAAGUGGUGUUGCCCAGUGCUUCCGACUGUCAGUCCUAAAAGAUAGAAGAAACCACCAUUUGUGGAGUCUUCUGAUAACACUGACAUUGAAAUCUCCCAUGUCCCCAUUUCAUCAUUCCCAGAGUGGGGAUGAAAAUUAAUCUGCUCUUUUAUGCAAUUCAGCAAAGCAUUUUAAAUUGCUUUUUUCCUUUUUAAGUAUACUAGAUGUCCAACUGCCUACACAGAGCAACAUUCAUGCUGAGCUUCUUCUGCACCAUCCCAUCUCUUUGCUGUUUCUGAGGUCAAAUCCAUAGGAGAUGUUCUGCGGAGUGAGCAGAGAGUGAGGAAGAUGCACAACAAAGAAGAGGCUCUCCAUUUCAAAUUCUUCUAUCACCAAAUCUCAGCAGUCCUCAAGCUGAUUAUCACAGCAUUGAAAAUCAAGCUGUUCUUGGAGUAUGGUGUGGUCUUGGCUUCAUCAAAUGACCAGUUCUUGAUAACUGAGGCAAGGCAGCACUUUGUUCAGAACAGCUAGACUCACAUUAAUCUGGUUUCUUCUUCAGUAGGUAUGUUUUUGGUGGUUGGGGGAUUUAGGCAUGAGUUCCUUUGAAAUAUCGGAGUAUUUCUGAUGAAGAAGUCCCAAAGGCACUUAACCCCAAGAACCUCAAAGACAAAAUCUUUCUACAGCAUGCCCUUCACUCAGCUAGCUAUGAGAAGAUCAAUGCUGGGAUUGAUACACGGAGGCUGUCAAGACUCUAUGGGACCAGAUCCCAUGUCCACUCAGCUCUGCUACCUCCAGCAGCCAUUGAGACUGAGAAUCUGCGGUGGUUUAUCUCCACCCCAGCUCCUCUCCUGAGCAGCCAUGGAUGUGUGAUGUCUCCUCCAGGUCUCUGACACAGAAAGCUUUCAUUUUGGGAUUGGAUGUUCUACUCAAAGAAAUGUCUCAGUCAAAUACAGGUUAAUCAGAGAAAUGUUGUCCUUCACGUCUCUGCAGGGAUCUGAUUUCCAAGCUAACAGGUGACAGUGCUUCAAAGUCCUGCUAAGAAGUGCACCCACCUCGCUGCUGUUUGGAUCAGCCUCUGACAAUGAAUUUUUCCAUCCCUACAAGAACUGUCUUUGUUUUGCUUGAUGUUCAAGGACGGACGCUGCCAUACAUGCAUGAUGACACAGAAAGCCUAGAGGAUAGUCUUACUGCAUGGCUGACAGAUGGCAAGCGCACAGUCCAAGGGACGCUUUACAUCUACAUCAUGCCAGUCAACGAUGAAAUCCCUCAUCUUUCCAGAAAAUGUCUCCAGAUCUGACUCUAGCAGGGUCUGAAUCCCCAUUCUCAGAGCACAGGAAAACUGUUUGAUCACAAAAUACCUGGUGGACUCCAGUUGCGAAGUGUCUCCAUUCCUUGUUUUGGUUUGUUUCAACUUCUUGGAAGAUGAAGUCACUGAGCAAAGCCAUUUCCAGUGCCAGGUCAGAAAAAAACAUCCUCCUGCCUUCAGGUGACAUUGUUCUACUCGCCAAACCUGUAACUUUAACAGAGGGUGACAGGGUGACCUUGACGACAGAUGUUCCUGUGGCAACAGAUGGCACUAGCAAACCCGAGAAGCUGCUGUACGCCGUCUCCGUGCCACCUGUGCAUGGUCAGAUUGAGCACAUCAAUUAUCCCGGCGUGCCCAUUCCCAGACACAGCCGGUUGGAUGUGGUGGCCCAGAAGGUCCCCUCUAUCCAUGACAAUAGCUGUGAGGCCGGGAAGGAGCCACUCAGGGGAUGGUUAUGACUUGGCCUGAAUCUCUGAGAAGACCUGAAGGUUUUCUUUGAAGGCUGCUGACCCAAAGCAUUGCAGUACCAGAACGCAAUGCAAGAGAGAGAAAAUGCUCCAGCAAGUGCAAUGGAUAGGAAUAGCAGGAAGUUCCUCAGAGCCCUUGGUCUUGUGCCCUUCCCAGAAGAUCACUCUGGUAUAACCGCAUGAAAUAGACUGUCGUAAACUGGGGCCAACUUAAUAAGAUGAAAAUACUCUACUAGCACAAUGGAAAUGCUAGGAAAAAUUGGAACAUUUUAUUUGACUAGUAGAGUCAAUCGUGGUUUUCUUGUCUGCAAAGAGAGGAGCAAGUAGAACCUAUAAUGCAGCCCUAUAGAGUGGCACCCGAGGGAUGCAGUGGUGAAACAAAUCCUCGCAAGAGCAAGCCCCUCAUCGUGCAGGACCUAAGAGAGGCUCAGCCUGGGAUGCUAGCUUCCCUUCUCAUCAACAGUCAUCUGUUUUCACAGCAGAGGUGAGGAUCAUCCUCUGCCUCCCCUUCUCUGAGCAUGUGGAAAACUCCAAACCAGUUACUUGACUUGAGAUGCUUAGUGCAGUGACUCUGGUUGGAAAAUCUCUUCAGCGCUUUGAUUUUCCUGUUGUUGUUGCACACAGCCGGAGCAGUUUCACAAGGUGAUGAGAUGGCAUUGUGUUGUAUUCUGGGUCAUCAAUUGCAGGACAGGUCCUAGCUGAGAAACCAGACACUUGAUGGAGGAUGAAGUUCAUCCCACCAUGUGGCUGCAUGGCACAGGCUGGCGGGUGGCCCCAGAGGAUGCUUGGACAGGUAGCACACACCACACAGCCUGGCAGGAAUGCACUCCGCAAACCCACGUAAAUGCUGUCUGAAGGUGUAAAAGUAAAAGGGCAGAGGUUCUUUUGAUCCUGCUGAAUUCAGGCAGGAUACUUGCUCAAGGGACAGAUUCUUGGUUCCAAAAAAGCUGCUUCGACCUUUGAGCUGCCAAAUUCCUUCCCCCAUUACCUCCCAUCUUUCUCUCCAGUAUAGCACAGCCACUCUGAGUCAUUGUUUAUCUAAUUUAAUUAACAUUUGCCAGUGCCUGCAACCUAAAACACUGUCUUAAAACAUUUGCUUGAAAAGCCUCCUUGUCCCAGAGCUGUCAUUUUUUAGCAUGAUGGAUAAUGGAUAGAAAUAAUUAUCCUGAACAAGGUUAGACAGCUAAAAUGAUUUGAGUUUCAAGGAAUUAGUAAGCUUAGCUAAACAUCUUAUUUUUCAAGACAUAUUAAUAAUAAAAACACAGCGAUGACCAUAAUGUAAAAUCUGCCUUCUGCUAAAACUUGCACUGUUUCUUGCAGGUAGCGGUGCCCACAGUGCCUUCACUGAGGGUGGUUUACAUCAGCACAUCAUCUGAUGCAUCACAAAUCCCUCUGUUGAAAGGAUUUUGGUAACUCUGUGUUCCAGGCAAAAUGCUUCCAGGGCUGUGAGUGCUGGUGUCCAGCUCAGCCCCUCCGAGUGGGAGGGCAAUGCAUACAGGGCACUAGGGAGCAGGUUAAGAUCAUAUCCAUCAGCCACAGGUGUCUCCUAUUCCAGUAUAUCAGCAACCCAGGUGGGUUACAGAGAUAACUGCCUGUCUGAGGAUACAUUCUUACUGCAUGGGGUGGCUACAGCCCCUCAUGGGCUGUCUAAACCCACUUAGUCCAUGGCUACCAGUCCUAAAGCCCCAUCCCUUGCAACAGCCCUGGAAAAAGCCAGAAGAAAUUAGAAAGCAGAGGCUUUGUGCAAAUGGAGUGAGCUUCUUCAGGUUUGCAAAGGUUUAACCGAGGGCAGAAUUGGGCUUGCUGCCUCUGCAUUGUUUCCCCAGCCCAUAAUUUUGGGGUAAACUUAAGUUUUGGAUUAAUCACUGACCUUUAGCUUUGAAGAAAAACAGAACUUCUGCAUGAAAUUGCCAAAAACGAGAGUAACAAUUUGUAAUUGCUUCAUUUUGCUCCUGGAAACGCAGGUGCAGCCGGGCCUCCAAGGUGCUCUGCACAGCAAGGGAGUGGGCUGUUCUCCAGGGAGCACUGAUCCAAGGCAAUAAGGCAGACAAAGCGAGCACAGGGAAUACAGGCAGUUGGUGGAGGACUGACAAGUGGUGCACAGUGGGACACAGGAGGCACUCGCUCCCUGCCCCGUGCACUGCAUCAUUACACCUUGCAAAUAACAAACCUCCUCCGUACAGCAGGAUACCCAGACGUGGUGGUGUUCCAUGGAGCAGUGGGCCAUGUCCUGAUGCCCAUGGGCUGCAGUGAGUGGUGCUGGUGGAAGAGCAGAGCCAGCAGUCCUCUGCCCAUGAGCACAGUUGGGAGUACAGCAGUCUGAGGUCAUAAAUGCACAAAAAUGACUUGAAAUAAAAUGGUCUGCAAUUGAAUUGCACAAAACUUUGUCUUGUGCCCAUGAAAAUGUUGGGACAGGUGGCAAAGACAGGUCAGAGAUGGAUGGGUCUGAAACGUUACAUAGAUGGAAGAAAUCAGCAGUGCAGAGAGUCCCAAGAGAAAGAGAUGUCCCCCACAGAGGCAGCUGUUUCUCUACCAUGAAAGUGUUUCCAUAAAAGCUCGGGACAGCCACAUUAAGGAAGAUGGCCUGAAAGAAAACCAUGCAAAUUAUACUGAGCACACCUAAAAACACUGUCCUGGGGCAAAACAGUGAGCUCACUGCAGAAACGAGGGAGCUGCCGACAGCACGGACAAAACUGAAUUGCUUGAACUGGCUUGUGUGAUCUCCAGUGCCUGAAGCCUCUCCAAACUGGGCUGUACAUUGCUGCUGCUAUACCAGUAUCAAACUACAGUAAUAACAAGCAUCUUUAAGUGCCUUACUUGAUACCAGAUUCAUUACCCUGAGAGUCCUUCCAUAGAAAUAGCUGGGAUAUAUAAUCAGAUCUGUAUUGGUCUUCUUACAAACCGCAGCGUGAAGGACAGCUUGGCUCAGAGGAGGCUGCACUGCAUGCAAAGGAGGGAGAUUAUCCAGAAAGCUAAGUAGUUUCAGAAGCAAUUUCAUCUGUGAAGACAAGAGCAAGCACAAGCCCUCAAGGCCACCGCAGCCCCAUCACCUGUGCCCUGAAGGCACCGAGCUGCUGCACACACCUUCCUCACCACCUCUGUCCUCUCCUGUGUGCUUUGGGACCCACAACGAAAGUCUGAGUUUGGACUUGGGGCAUAAAAUACGGCACCAUAAAAUAUUAUUGUAGGGGAAGAGUGAAAAUUUACUCAUUUUUGAGCAGGAGGGCAAGGUGAUUUUCUCUCGGUCCAGUAAUUCCCUCAUUUUUAUUGCUGGUGUUACGGACCAGCUUCUCCGAGGUGCUUGGAUUUUGCUUAUAUUGCGUCCUCCUUCACAUCCGCUUUCAACAGUAAAACCCGUGUGGUUUUGAUCUCUUGCUUUCAUGCCUGCUGCCACACUCUGGAAAAUUUAAGAAGGGCGCAAGGAAUGGGUUAGUCACACUUGUUAAUAUUUAUCCCAUUGCAGAGUGAGUAGGGCUGACCUCAGAGCUUGGGCUUUGGAGAACAGUUAUGAGAACAAUUCCACCGCGCCGAAACGAAAUCUGCAUGCAAAGCUCGUUUGGUGCCUGGAAGGAGCUAGAAGGAAAUAAAGGUCUUAAACGAUA